UACAGAGGUCUCAAGCGUUGUUCGGAUUCAUUGGGCGUAAAGGGUGCGUAGGUGGCGAUGCAAGUCUGGUGUGAAAUCUUGGGGCUCAACCUCAAAAUUGCACCGGAUACUGCGUUGCUUGAGGAUUGUAGAGGAGAGUGGAAUUCACGGUGUAGCAGUGAAAUGCGUAGAUAUCGUGAGGAAGACCAGUUGCGAAGGCGACUCUCUGGGCAAUUCCUGACACUGAGGCACGAAGGCCAGGGGAGCAAAC
RNAcentral lists this ribosomal RNA (250 nucleotides) under uncultured bacterium. Its description in RNAcentral is "partial 16S ribosomal RNA". It matches the Rfam family "Bacterial small subunit ribosomal RNA", at positions 524 to 773 of the family's 1533-position model. The record is from RNAcentral.